GGCCGGGUCCGCCGCCGGGGGCGGCGACCGGUCCGGGUCCGGGUCCGGGUCCGGGUCCGGGUCCGGGUCCGGGUCCGGGUCCCGGUUCGGGUCC
RNAcentral lists this transfer RNA (94 nucleotides) under Streptomyces rubrolavendulae. Its description in RNAcentral is "tRNA-Pro". The record is from RNAcentral. Lineage: Bacteria; Bacillati; Actinomycetota; Actinomycetes; Kitasatosporales; Streptomycetaceae.